UCGAGGGGCAGCGAGUAUUUAGUUUACUAAAUAUGUCGGCGACCGGCGCAAGGGUGCGUAACGCGUGAGCAACAUGCCUAUUACAGGAGGAUAAACCAUGGAAACGUGGCCUAAUACUCCAUAGCAAUAUUUAUCGGCAUCGAUAGAUAUUUAAAGCGCUACAGUGGUAAUAGAUUGGCUCGCGUAACAUUAGCUAGAUGGUAAGGUAACGGCUUACCAUGGCAACGAUGUUUAGGGGUUCUGAGAGGAAGGUCCCCCACACUGGUACUGAGACACGGACCAGACUCCUACGGGAGGCAGCAGUGAGGAAUAUUGGACAAUGGAUGGAAAUCUGAUCCAGCCAUGCCGCGUGUAGGUAACGGCCCUAUGGGUCUUCAACUACUUUUGUAUGGGAGCAAUAAGAUCUACGUGUAGGUUGAUGAGAGUACCAUACGAAUAAGCAUCGGCUAACUCCGUGCCAGCAGCCGCGGUAAUACGGAGGAUGCAAGCGUUAUCCGGAUUUAUUGGGUUUAAAGGGUGCGUAGGCUGUUUAAUAAGUCAGUGGUGAAAUACUAAUGCUCAACAUUGGGGCUGCCAUUGAAACUAUUAGGCUAGAAUGUGAACGCUGAUUGCGGAAUGUGUAGUGUAGCGGUGAAAUGCAUAGAUAUUACACAGAACACCAAUUG
This 665-nucleotide ribosomal RNA is filed under the name uncultured bacterium. Its description in RNAcentral is "bacterial SSU rRNA". It matches the Rfam family "Bacterial small subunit ribosomal RNA", at positions 62 to 715 of the family's 1533-position model. The record is from RNAcentral.